CAAUCUUUGUAGUGCAUAAUCAGGUUUUGCAAAAGAGUGUUUCGGGAAUGUGAAUGAUGGCGCAUUCAUUUUUUCGAUUACGAAUUUUUCUAACGAAAGGACGAUGUACGUAAUGGCUUCUAAAACGAAGAAGGCAAUAGUUGAUGUGAAAAAGCAAUUCGAUGCGAUUUCCAAGCAAUUUGAAAUGGUUCAAAUUCUAAAUGAAAAAGGAGAAGUGGUGAAUCCUGAUUUAAUGCCAGAUUUGACU
This is a non-coding RNA of Listeria aquatica FSL S10-1188, 247 nucleotides long. NCBI's taxonomy places the organism in Bacteria, Bacillati, Bacillota, Bacilli, Caryophanales, Listeriaceae. The record is from Rfam.